GGGGGUGCAACGGGUUCGACCGUGUAGGAGAAGGAGAGUAAAAGCAUACCGUAGGGUCGGCUACGAUAAAACGACAAACUUAAACUUAAAUGCAGAUACUAACAAUUAUGCAUUCGCUGCUUAAUUAAAAGCGCGACGUCUCUCGUCGGAGUACCGUCGGUCGACGAAGAGGUGUAAUUUCAGGCGGUGACCGUUCAUAGAGAUAUCGUAUCGGCUUUAUGAAUGACAAAGAUGCGCGCGGCGCGUGUAGCCUGUCUUAACGGCGGUACGCGCAAGGGGAUAAAAGUAAGACUAAGUAUGUAGAAGACUUUCUGGAUCUUAUGCGACACAGGAGUUCGAUUCUCCUCACUUCCACCA
Molecule: transfer-messenger RNA, 357 nt
Filed under: Clostridia bacterium
Lineage: Bacteria; Bacillati; Bacillota; Clostridia
Rfam family: transfer-messenger RNA
About the family: Bacterial tmRNA, also known as 10Sa RNA or SsrA, is named for its dual tRNA and mRNA-like properties.
Source: RNAcentral